Long non-coding RNA from Octodon degus (degu), 348 nucleotides. RefSeq lists it as uncharacterized. NCBI's taxonomy places the organism in Eukaryota, Metazoa, Chordata, Mammalia, Rodentia, Octodontidae. The transcript is spliced from 3 exons. The record is from RefSeq and is a predicted model, not a curated record.
CCCGCGGGCUCGCGACGCCUGGGCCUGCCUCCCGGAUCCGGGCGCUUCGGGGCUGGCGGCGACGGAGCCCGCAGCUCGGGCGAGCCAACCUGGGCCCAACCCUCCCAGUCUGAAACAGAUGCCUUUUAGGAAAAACAGUUUUCAGAUAUGUGCAAAGAAACAAUAGCAGCUGACAGCACGUGUUGGACUACCAGAGGUCUAGAUGGAAGUUUCUGGAUCAUCUGCCGCAGAACUCUGCUUAACAGACCCAGACGCUGAGAGCCAAAACCGGGAAUGCUAUGGAGCCAGGCGGGAGGAAGGUAAACAGCAAAGGGCCCGUCAGGUAGACCUGAGGCUGCAGACGGCGAA